This 2549-nucleotide long non-coding RNA is filed under the name Homo sapiens (human). Its description in RNAcentral is "HSALNT0096675". Lineage: Eukaryota; Metazoa; Chordata; Mammalia; Primates; Hominidae. The record is from RNAcentral.
GAAAAACGCAAGACACGAAACUGUACUUAUGGGUAUGGUUCCAAUUUUAUCAAUAUAUAUCCAUAGGAACACACAAAGAAUGUGGAGGGGAAAAAAAACAAAAUAUCAACAGCAACUGUGGAUUUGGGGGUUGCAGAUCAUUUUCUUUUACACUUUUCGUUAUUUCCCAGAUAUUCUACAGCAAGUGUUCUCCAAGGACUCAAAACUCAGAGAAGGCGCCUGUGCUAGGAGCAGUAACUAGCUUUCCUUGUCUUUCUUCAUGCUUUUCUCCUGCACUAAGCACUGACACAGGCCUGGUGCUACCCUAGAACCUCCUCUGUGCCUCAGUUUCCCCUUCGGAACAACAGCUCAAAGGGCGGUUCCUUUGAGCCCUUUGGGAGGACCGCCCGACCUCGGCCCCUGGAAGUUCCGAACUGUCGGAAGAGCUCUCAGCCUCUGGGUUUGAGGCGGCCCGGGGGUCCAGCCAGCCCACCCUCGCUCCGCCGGUGCUCGCUCUAUUUGAAAACGCUGACUGUUGGUCCCCCAAGCAGCAGUCUGGAGUCAGCCCAGCCCGUCUGCAGCGGUGGAGCCAGGGCUAAGCCUUCUCCGGUCAUAAUGAGAGAACCCGGGCACCGCCCCCCGGGACCAAGCCUUCCGCGAAAUCUGCUUAUAGCCCCCGAGGGAUGGAGCCGGGGAGGGGAUUGGUGUCUGGGAAACUAGUCCUGAGAAACACGGACAUCACCCGGCAUCUUAGCUGGAAACAUCGAGUCAGACCCCUUCGCUUCACAGAAGGGGAAACUGAGGACCAAAGAAGGCGGCCGUCGGGUUGGCGUGGAAAGAGAGCCCUGGUUUCCAGUGCCACCGCGGACCUCAACCCGUGGCGUGGCCUUGGGACACAAAUCCAGGAGCCAUUCCUUCUGCCUGGGAGGAGGGAGUGAUGAAGACCAGAGGAAUCCCAGAGGAGAAGCCAUCUGAGAUCGGGAGGAGGAGAAAUGGAACAUCAGGCGGAGGAAACAGCCCAGACAAUCGCACUGGGACGUGAAAACCCUUGGGCUGCAUGCGGGGAGAAAACCAGAAUUGGGGAUGGUUAGGGUUUUGGAGGGAAACACAGGGACAUGUGACCAAAAAUAAUAAUAACUACUGUUACUUAUUGAGGACUUUCUAUGUACUAGAAUAAGAAAAUCAUGAUAGCUAAGACUGAUAAAACGCUAAGUGUCAAACGCUGUCUUCAGCACUUUACACAUAUUCACUUAUUUAAUUAAUCGGAGAAAAUAACUUUUAUGAGCCAGGGACUCUGCAUACAUUAUCUCUUUUCAUUAGCCCAGUAAUCCCAUGGGGUAGGUACUAGUACUAUCCCUGUUUUAGAAAUGAGGAAAUCAAACCUGAGAGGCUAAACCACUUGCCCAAGAUUACACAGCUAAUGUCAGUGCCUAGAUUCAAACCCACAUCCGUAUAACUCCAGAGCCUGAUGCAACACACCUUAUUUUCCAGGUGGAGAAACUGAUAAUGAGAGAGAAAUGACUUGCCUAAGAUCCCUCAGCAAGUUUUAGCAAAGCCUCGUUGUAGAAUCCCAGCCUCAAACCUCGUCCAUCUGUUCCUUUUUCUGAGCCUCUUUAGUCAAACCCAGGUUGACUAGAGAAGUGCUAAGUGUUGGAGAGGGCGAGGCACUCCUGAAGAUGAUGGGUAGGUAGGUCUAUCAAACCCUACUCAUGGGCACCCAUGAGGGAAAUCAAAUAAGUGGUUCUGGCCAUUAAUGUCGUUUGGGACUCCGUUAGUCUCCAGCUGCUGUAAAAUUCGUAUCUUUCUGUGAACCCGAAAUAUCUGAGAUAGGUCUCAGUCAAUUUAGAAGGUUAAUUUUGCCAAGCUUAAGAACGUGCUCAUGACACAGCCUCAGGAGGUCCCAACAUGUGCCCAGGGUGGUGGGGGUGUAGCCUCCUUUUAUAUAUUUUGGGGAGACAUGAGACAUCAAUCAAUAUGUGUAGGAUGUACAUUGCUUCCGGUCCGGUAAGGCAAGACAACUCCAAGCUGCAGAAAGGGUGGUGCUUCCAGGUUAUAAGUAGAUAAGAAACAGAAGAGGUUACAUUCUUUUGAGUCCUUGAUCAACCUUCCACUGAAUACACAAUUUAGUCUAGCUCAGUGAAUCUACAUUUUUACAUAAACAAUAGGGCAGAAGAAGCAAUCAGAUAUGCAUUUGUUUCCGGUGAGCCUCAGAGGGAUGGCUUUAAAUUCUGUCUGUCCUUUGUCCACAAGGAAUUUCCUUGUGUGAAAAUUGUGAGGAAGGUAUGUAGCUGUUUCUCUUUGUAGCUAUCUUAUUUAAGAAUAGGAUGGUGGCCUGGCAUUGUGGCUUAGGCCUGUAAUCCCAGCACUUUGGGAGGCCAAGGCGGGCAGAUCACCUGAGGUCAGGAAUUCGAGACCAGUCUGACCAAUGUGGCGAAACCCUGUCUCUACUAAAAAUACAAAAAAAAUUAGCCAGGCGUGGUGGCACACCUGUAAUCCCAGCUACUCAGGAGGCUGAGGCAGGAGAUCGCUUAAACCUCGGAAGGGGAGGUUGCAGUGAGCCAAGAUCACGC